ACGAACGCUGGCGGCGUGCCUAACACAUGCAAGUCGUACGAGAAAGGGGCUUCGGCCCUGAGUAGAGUGGCGCACGGGUGAGUAACGCGUGGGUAAUCUACCCUUGGAUUUGGGAUAACUCUGCGAAAGUGGAGCUAAUACCGGAUAGUCUGGCUUUAAAUAAGAAGUCGGUAAAGGAUGCCUCUGCAUAUGCAUUCGUCCGAGGAUGAGCCCGCGUCUCAUUAGCUAGUUGGUAGGGUAAUGGCCUACCAAGGCAACGAUGAGUAGCUGGUCUGAGAGGAUGAUCAGCCACACUGGAACUGAAACACGGUCCAGACUCCUAC
This 323-nucleotide ribosomal RNA is filed under the name uncultured bacterium. RNAcentral describes it as "bacterial SSU rRNA". It matches the Rfam family "Bacterial small subunit ribosomal RNA", at positions 29 to 342 of the family's 1533-position model. The record is from RNAcentral.